Molecule: ribosomal RNA, 468 nt
Filed under: uncultured bacterium
Lineage: Bacteria
Description: partial 16S ribosomal RNA
Rfam family: Bacterial small subunit ribosomal RNA
Source: RNAcentral
GACGAACGCUGGCGGCGUGCUUAACACAUGCAAGUCGAACGGAAAGGCCCUGCUUUUGUGGGGUGCUCGAGUGGCGAACGGGUGAGUAACACGUGAGUAACCUGCCCUUGACUUUGGGAUAACUUCAGGAAACUGGGGCUAAUACCGGAUAGGAGCUCCUGCUGCAUGGUGGGGGUUGGAAAGUUUCGGCGGUUGGGGAUGGACUCGCGGCUUAUCAGCUUGUUGGUGGGGUAGUGGCUUACCAAGGCUUUGACGGGUAGCCGGCCUGAGAGGGUGACCGGCCACAUUGGGACUGAGAUACGGCCCAGACUCCUACGGGAGGCAGCGGUGGGGAAUAUUGCACAAUGGGCGGAAGCCUGAUGCAGCAACGCCGCGUGCGGGAUGACGGCCUUUGGGUUGUAAACCGCUUUCGCCUGUGACGAAGCGUGAGUGACGGUAAUGGGUAAAGAAGCACCGGCUAACUACGUG